RNAcentral lists this ribosomal RNA (378 nucleotides) under uncultured Planctomycetota bacterium. Its description in RNAcentral is "bacterial SSU rRNA". It matches the Rfam family "Bacterial small subunit ribosomal RNA", at positions 521 to 896 of the family's 1533-position model. Lineage: Bacteria; Pseudomonadati; Planctomycetota. The record is from RNAcentral.
UAAUACGGAGGGCGCAAGCGUUGUUCGGAAUCACUGGGCAUAAAGAGCAUGUAGGCGGUCAAUUAAGUCGGAUGUGAAAGCCCUCGGCCCAACCGGGGAACUGCAUUCGAAACUGGUUGACUAGAGGACAGCAGAGGUGAGUGGAACUCCAGGUGGAACGGUGAAAUGUGUAGAUAUCUGGAGGAACACCGGUGGCGAAAGCGGCUCACUGGGCUGUCUCUGACGCUGAGAUGCGAAAGCCAGGGGAGCGAACGGGAUUAGAUACCCCGGUAGUCCUGGCCGUAAACGAUGGGCACUAGGCAAUGGGCUUACCUAUGGGGCUCCUUGCCGUAGCUAAUGUGUUAAGUGCCCCGCCUGGGGAGUACGCUCGCAAGGGUA